Molecule: ribosomal RNA, 108 nt
Filed under: Staphylococcus aureus
Lineage: Bacteria; Bacillati; Bacillota; Bacilli; Caryophanales; Staphylococcaceae
Source: RNAcentral
UGGUGACUAUAGCAAGGAGGUCACACCUGUUCCCAUGCCGAACACAGAAGUUAAGCUCCUUAGCGUCGAUGGUAGUCGAACUAAAACGUGAAAAGAGCGCAACGAGUU